This 472-nucleotide ribosomal RNA is filed under the name Haemophilus quentini. RNAcentral describes it as "bacterial SSU rRNA". It matches the Rfam family "Bacterial small subunit ribosomal RNA", at positions 6 to 473 of the family's 1533-position model. Lineage: Bacteria; Pseudomonadati; Pseudomonadota; Gammaproteobacteria; Pasteurellales; Pasteurellaceae. The record is from RNAcentral.
GGAGAGUUUGAUCCUGGCUCAGAUUGAACGCUGGCGGCAGGCUUAACACAUGCAAGUCGAACGGUAGCAGGAGGAAGCUUGCUUUCUUGCUGACGAGUGGCGGACGGGUGAGUAAUGCUUGGGAAUCUGGCUUAUGGAGGGGGAUAACUACGGGAAACUGUAGCUAAUACCGCGUAAUAUCGAAAGAUUAAAGUGUGGGACCUUCGGGCCACAUGCCAUAAGAUGAGCCCAAGUGGGAUUAGGUAGUUGGUGAGGUAAAGGCUCACCAAGCCUGCGAUCUCUAGCUGGUCUGAGAGGAUGGCCAGCCACACUGGAACUGAGACACGGUCCAGACUCCUACGGGAGGCAGCAGUGGGGAAUAUUGCGCAAUGGGGGGAACCCUGACGCAGCCAUGCCGCGUGAAUGAAGAAGGCCUUCGGGUUGUAAAGUUCUUUCGGUAUUGAGGAAGGGAUGUGUGCUAAUAGUACACGUC